This 388-nucleotide ribosomal RNA is filed under the name uncultured bacterium. RNAcentral's name for it is "partial 16S ribosomal RNA". It matches the Rfam family "Bacterial small subunit ribosomal RNA", at positions 523 to 918 of the family's 1533-position model. The record is from RNAcentral.
AUACGUAGGUGGCAAGCGUUAUCCGGAUUUAUUGGGCGUAAAGGGUCCGCAGGCGGUCUGUUUAGUCUGAGGUGAAAGCGUUGAGCUCAACUCAAUUAAGCCUUAGAUACUGGCAGACUAGAGUGCAGAAGAGGGUUAUGGAAUUCCAUGUGUAGCGGUAAAAUGCGUAGAUAUAUGGAGGAACACCGGAGGCGAAGGCGGUAACCUGGUCUGUUACUGACGCUCAGGGACGAAAGCGUGGGGAGCAAAUAGGAUUAGAUACCCUAGUAGUCCACGCCCUAAACGAUGAUUACUAAAUGUUGGGGAAACUCAGUGUUGCAGCUAACGCAAUAAGUAAUCCGCCUGGGGAGUAUGCACGCAAGUGUGAAACUCAAAUGAAUUGACGGGG